This 74-nucleotide transfer RNA is filed under the name Bacteroidota bacterium. Its description in RNAcentral is "Bacteroidetes bacterium tRNA-Arg". It matches the Rfam family "tRNA". Rfam says of the family: Transfer RNA (tRNA) molecules are approximately 80 nucleotides in length. Their secondary structure includes four short double-helical elements and three loops (D, anti-codon, and T loops). The record is from RNAcentral. Lineage: Bacteria; Pseudomonadati; Bacteroidota.
GGCUCUGUAGCUCAACUGGAUAGAGUACCUGACUACGGAUCAGGAGGUUGGAGGUUCGAACCCUCCCAGAGUCA